CGCACCGCUGGUGUACCAGUUGUUCCGCCAGGAGCAUCGCUGGGUAGCUAUGUGUGGGAAGGAUAAGCGCUGAAAGCAUCUAAGCGCGAAGCCAGCUUCAAGAUGAGAUUUCCCAUUCUUAGGAAGUAAGACCCCUGAAAGACGAACAGGUAGAUAGGCUAGAAGUGGAAGUGUUGUGAGACAUGGAGCGGACUAGUACUAAUCGGUCGAGGACUUAACCAAG
RNAcentral lists this ribosomal RNA (223 nucleotides) under Facklamia sp. 252. Its description in RNAcentral is "partial 23S ribosomal RNA". It matches the Rfam family "Bacterial large subunit ribosomal RNA", at positions 2702 to 2925 of the family's 2925-position model. The record is from RNAcentral. Lineage: Bacteria; Bacillati; Bacillota; Bacilli; Lactobacillales; Aerococcaceae.